CAGCMGCCGCGGUAAUWCAGAGGGUGCAAGCGUUAAUCGGAUUUACUGGGCGUAAAGCGCGCGUAGGUNGCCAAUUAAGUCAAAUGUGAAAUCCCCGAGCUUAACUUGGGAAUUGCAUUCGAUACUGGUUGGCUAGAGUAUGGGAGAGGAUGGUACAAUUCCAGGUGUAGCGGUGAAAUGCGUAGAGAUCUGGANGAAUACCGAUNGCNAANNCNNCCAUCUGGCCUAAUACUGACACUGAGGUGCGAAAGCAUGGGGAGCAAACAGGAUUAGAUACCCUGGUAGUCCAUGCCGCAAACGAUGUCUACUAGCCGUUGGGGCCUUUGAGGCUUUAGUGGCGCAGCUAACGCGAUAAGUAGACCGCCUGGGGAGUACNGUCGCAAGACUAAAACUCAAAUGAAUUGACNGGGGCCCGCACAAGCGGUGGAGCAUGUGGUUUAAUUCGAUGCAACGCGAAGAACCUUACCUGGUCUUGACAUAGUAAGAACUUUCCAGAGAUNGAUNNNNGCCUUCGGGAACUUACAUACAGGUNCUGCAUNNCNNNCGUCAGCUCGUGUCGUGAGAUGUUGGGUUAANUCCCGCAACGAGNNCAACCCUUUUCCUUAUUUGCCAGCGGGUUAAGCCGGGAACUUUAAGGAUACUGCCAGUGACAAACUGGAGGAAGGCGGGGACGACGUCAAGUGAUCAUGGCCCUUACGACCAGGGCUACACACGUGCUACAAUGGUNGGUACAAANNGUUGCUACCUCGCGAGAAGAUGCUAAUCUCAAAAAGCCGAUCGUAGUCCGGAUUGGAGUCUGCAACUCGACUCCAUGAAGUCGGAAUCGCUAGUAAUCGCGGAUCAGAAUGCCGCGGUGAAUACNUUCCCGGGCCUUGYACACACCGCCCGUC
This 890-nucleotide ribosomal RNA is filed under the name uncultured eubacterium DgEPI5. RNAcentral describes it as "partial 16S ribosomal RNA". It matches the Rfam family "Bacterial small subunit ribosomal RNA", at positions 509 to 1398 of the family's 1533-position model. The record is from RNAcentral. Lineage: Bacteria; Pseudomonadati; Pseudomonadota; Gammaproteobacteria; Moraxellales; Moraxellaceae.